Molecule: ribosomal RNA, 492 nt
Filed under: uncultured bacterium
Lineage: Bacteria
Description: partial 16S ribosomal RNA
Rfam family: Bacterial small subunit ribosomal RNA
Source: RNAcentral
AGUGAACGCUGGCGGUAUGCCUAACACAUGCAAGUCGAACGGCAGCACAGUAAGAUCUUUCUCUUACUGUUGGCGAGUGGCGGACGGGUGAGGAAUACAUCGGAAUCUACUUUUUCUUGGGUGAUAACGUAGGGAAACUUACGCUAAUACCGCAUACUACCUACGGGUUAAAGCAGAGGAUCUUCGCACCUUGCGCGAUUGAAUGAGCCGAUGUCGGAUUAGCUAGUUGGCGUGGUAAAGUCCCACCAAGGCGACGAUCCGUAGCUGGUCUGAGAGGAUGAUCAGCCACACUGGAACUGAGACACGGUCCAGACUCCUACGGGAGGCAGCAGUGGGGAAUAUUGGACAAUGGGCGCAAGCCUGAUCCAGCCAUACCGCGUGGGUGAAGAAGGCCUUCGGGUUGUAAAGCCCUUUUGUUAGGAAAGAAAAGAAGCAGGUUAAUCCCCCGCUGUCCUGACGGUACCCAAAGAAUAAGCAACGGCUAACUUCGUG